This 426-nucleotide ribosomal RNA is filed under the name uncultured bacterium. Its description in RNAcentral is "partial 16S ribosomal RNA". It matches the Rfam family "Bacterial small subunit ribosomal RNA", at positions 355 to 773 of the family's 1533-position model. The record is from RNAcentral.
UGGGGAAUUUUGGACAAUGGGCGAAAGCCUGAUCCAGCAAUGCCGCGUGUGUGAAGAAGGCCUUCGGGUUGUAAAGCACUUUUGUCCGGAAAGAAAUCCUUGGCUCUAAUACAGUCGGGGGAUGACGGUACCGGAAGAAUAAGCACCGGCUAACUACGUGCCAGCAGCCGCGGUAAUACGUAGGGUGCAAGCGUUAAUCGGAAUUACUGGGCGUAAAGCGUGCGCAGGCGGUUUGCUAAGACCGAUGUGAAAUCCCCGGGCUCACCUGGGAACUGCAUUGGUGACUGGCAGGCUAGAGUAUGGCAGAGGGGGGUAGAAUUCCACGUGUAGCAGUGAAAUGCGUAGAGAUGUGGAGGAAUACCGAUGGCGAAGGCAGCCCCCUGGGCCAAGUACUGACGCUCAUGCACGAAAGCGUGGGGAGCAAAC